GAUGAACGCUGGCGGCGUGCCUAACACAUGCAAGUCGAGCGAGAAACUUGGCACAGAAACUUCGGUGGACGAGUCAAGCGGAAAGCGGCGGACGGGUGAGUAACGCGUAGGCAACCUGCCCAUGACAGAGGGAUAGCCUCGGGAAACCGGGAUUAAAACCUCAUGAUGCCAAAUCAACACAUGUUGAUCUGGUCAAAGAUUUAUCGGUCAUGGAUGGGCCUGCGUCUGAUUAGUUAGUUGGUGAGGUAACGGCUCACCAAGGCAGCGAUCAGUAACCGACCUGAGAGGGUAAUCGGUCACAUUGGAACUGAGACACGGUCCAGACUCCUACGGGAGGCAGCAGUGGGGAGUAUUGCACAAUGGGGGAAACCCUGAUGCAGCAACGCCGCGUGAGCGAUGAAGGUUCUAUGAAUCGUAAAGCUCUGUCCUUGGGGAAGAAACAAAUGACGGUACCCAAGGAGGAAGCCCCGGCUAACUACGUGCCAGCAGCCGCCGUAAAAC
RNAcentral lists this ribosomal RNA (501 nucleotides) under uncultured bacterium. RNAcentral describes it as "bacterial SSU rRNA". It matches the Rfam family "Bacterial small subunit ribosomal RNA", at positions 28 to 526 of the family's 1533-position model. The record is from RNAcentral.